GAUGAACGCUGGCGGCGUGCUUAACACAUGCAAGUCGAACGAAGCACUUUAUUUGAUUUCCUUCGGGACUGAUUAUUUUGUGACUGAGUGGCGGACGGGUGAGUAACGCGUGGGUAACCUGCCUUGUACAGGGGGAUAACAGUUGGAAACGGCUGCUAAUACCGCAUAAGCGCACGGCAUCGCAUGAUGCAGUGUGAAAAACUCCGGUGGUAUAAGAUGGACCCGCGUUGGAUUAGCUAGUUGGUGAGGUAACGGCCCACCAAGGCGACGAUCCAUAGCCGACCUGAGAGGGUGACCGGCCACAUUGGGACUGAGACAGGCCCAAAUCCUACGGGAGGCAGCAGUGGGGAAUAUUGCACAAUGGGCGAAAGCCUGAUGCAGCGACGCCGCGUGAGCGAAGAGUAUUUCGGAUGUAAAGCUCUAUCAGCAGGG
Molecule: ribosomal RNA, 432 nt
Filed under: uncultured bacterium
Lineage: Bacteria
Description: bacterial SSU rRNA
Rfam family: Bacterial small subunit ribosomal RNA
Source: RNAcentral